Molecule: RNA transcript, 820 nt
Organism: Brassica rapa (field mustard)
Lineage: Eukaryota; Viridiplantae; Streptophyta; Magnoliopsida; Brassicales; Brassicaceae
Gene name: calmodulin-like protein 9
Source: RefSeq, a predicted model, not a curated record
UUUAUGUUGACUUUUGACGCGGCAAGAGCCAUGGGAUGUGUGAGGUCAUUACUUAAAUCCAGAUGGAAUGCUCUCUUUCUUCCCCAUAAUCUUCCUUCACAAUAAAAAAAAAACAAGAGAAAAGUUAAUCAUCAAGAAAAUCUUUGACUUUUCUUUGUGAUCGACGAAGAUGGCCGAUGCUUUCACCGAUGAGCAGAUCCAAGAGUUCUACGAAGCCUUCUGUCUCAUCGACAAAGACUCCGAUGGGUUCAUAACGAAGGAGAAACUAACGAAGGUGAUGAAGUCUAUGGGGAAGAGUCCAAACGAGGAACAACUUCAAGAGAUGAUGAGCCAUGUCGACAUCUUUGGCAACGGAGGCAUCACCUUUGAUGACUUCUUGUAUAUAAUGGCUCAAAACACCUCUCAGGAAGCGGCAUCGGAUGAAUUAAUAGAAGUAUUCAGAGUGUUUGACAGAGACGGAGACGGUGUCAUAUCCGCACUCGAGUUGGGAGAAGGAAUGAAAGACAUGGGGAUGAAGAUAACGGUGGAAGAGGCGGAGCAUAUGGUGCGAGAAGCGGAUCUGGACGGCGAUGGUGUUCUCUCUUUCCACGAGUUCUCCAAAAUGAUGAUCGCUGCCUCUUAUUAGCAUUUUAUAUAUCCCUAUAUAAAAGCUAUGAUAUAAGGGGGUUUGUUUCGGUGAUGCUCUGCUCUUUUGAGUUUGCAAUUUCUAAUAAAGCUUCAGAUGAUAAAAAGUGGGUUUGUUUAAGCACUUAUUAACUACUAUUCAGUAUGUUAAACUUAAAACACAGAUCAAAUCGUAUGUUAAAUUAUUUUCCCAACA